RNAcentral lists this ribosomal RNA (301 nucleotides) under uncultured bacterium. RNAcentral describes it as "partial 16S ribosomal RNA". It matches the Rfam family "Bacterial small subunit ribosomal RNA", at positions 509 to 809 of the family's 1533-position model. The record is from RNAcentral.
CAGUAGCCGCGGUAAUACGUAGGGUGCGAGCGUUAAUCGGAAUUACUGGGCGUAAAGCGUGCGCAGGCGGUUCGUUAAGACAGAUGUGAAAUCCCCGGGCUUAACCUGGGAACUGCAUUUGUGACUGGCGAGCUAGAGUAUGGCAGAGGGGGGUAGAAUUCCACGUGUAGCAGUGAAAUGCGUAGAGAUGUGGAGGAAUACCGAUGGUGAAGGCAGCCCCCUGGGCCAAUACUGACGCUCAUGCACGAAAGCGUGGGGAGCAAACAGGAUUAGAUACCCGCGUAGUCCCUGUCUCUUAUAA